AUGACAGAAAGGAGCUGGGAUCAGCACCAGGAGAGCGACCUGGCUGUGAUCGCAGCGAUGAACAAUGAACCAGAAGGCAGAGUGGAGAGUGAGGAUGACACCCGGGAUGGCAACCACAGACCAGGAAGGCUGAGCCGGGAAACAGAUCUCAGGACUCCCAGCAGAAGCCUGUGUUUUCCAAAACAGAAGACAGAUGAAAAGACCCGCAGGCUACAGAGGGCAGAUGCUGCCCAGCUGAGAGCAUGGCCUCUCGCAGCUGCGGAGCCCACGGUUCUCAUUGUUUUGGAUGUGGGGUAG
This 297-nucleotide long non-coding RNA is filed under the name Macaca mulatta (Rhesus monkey). Its description in RNAcentral is "lncRNA (ENSMMUG00000061619.1)". Lineage: Eukaryota; Metazoa; Chordata; Mammalia; Primates; Cercopithecidae. The record is from RNAcentral.